Molecule: unclassified non-coding RNA, 152 nt
Filed under: soil metagenome
Description: partial internal transcribed spacer 1
Source: RNAcentral
CCGAGUUAUACAACUCAUCAACCCCUGUGAACAUACCUAUACUGUUGCCUCGGCGGGAUCAGACCGCUCCCGGUAACACGGGCCGGCCCCGCCAGAGGACCCCCUAACUCUGUUUCUAUAUGUUACUUCUGAGUAAACCAUCAAAUAAAUUA